RNAcentral lists this ribosomal RNA (484 nucleotides) under uncultured bacterium. Its description in RNAcentral is "partial 16S ribosomal RNA". It matches the Rfam family "Bacterial small subunit ribosomal RNA", at positions 30 to 507 of the family's 1533-position model. The record is from RNAcentral.
AUUGAACGCUGGCGGCAGGCCUAACACAUGCAAGUCGAGCGGAUGAAGGGAGCUUGCUCCUGGAUUCAGCGGCGGACGGGCGAGUAAUGCCUAGGAAUCUGCCUGGUAGUGGGGGAUAACGUCCGGAAACGGGCGCUAAUACCGCAUACGUCCUGAGGGAGAAAGUGGGGGAUCUUCGGACCUCACGCUAUCAGAUGAGCCUAGGUCGGAUUAGCUAGUUGGUGGGGUAAAGGCCUACCAAGGCGACGAUCCGUAACUGGUCUGAGAGGAUGAUCAGUCACACUGGAACUGAGACACGGUCCAGACUCCUACGGGAGGCAGCAGUGGGGAAUAUUGGACAAUGGGCGAAAGCCUGAUCCAGCCAUGCCGCGUGUGUGAAGAAGGUCUUCGGAUUGUAAAGCACUUUAGGUUGGGAGGAAGAGCAGUAAGUUAAUACCUUGCUGUUUUGACGUUACCAACAGAAUAAGCACCGGCUAACUUCGUG